Molecule: ribosomal RNA, 683 nt
Filed under: uncultured organism
Description: bacterial SSU rRNA
Rfam family: Bacterial small subunit ribosomal RNA
Source: RNAcentral
AGUCGAACGCAACCUUCGGGUUGAGUGGCGGACGGGUGAGUAAUGCGUGAGAAUCUGCCUUGGGGUCGGGGAAACCACUGGAAACGGUGGCGAAUACCGGAUAAGCCUUUGGGUAAAAAAUUUAUUGCCCCAAGAGGAGCUCGCGUCUGAUUAGCUAGUUGGUGAGGUAAGAGCUCACCAAGGCAGCGAUCAGUGGCUGGUCUGAGAGGACGAUCAGCCACACUGGGACUGAGACACGGCCCAGACUCCUACGGGAGGCAGCAGUGGGGAAUUUUCCGCAAUGGGCGAAAGCCCUGACGGAGCAAGACCGCGUGAGGGAGGAAGGCUCUUGGGUUGUAAACCUCUUUUCUCAGGGAAGAAGCUCUGACGGUACCUGAGGAAUCAGCCUCGGCUAACUCCGUGCCAGCAGCCGCGGUAAUACGGAGGAGGCAAGCGUUAUCCGGAAUUAUUGGGCGUAAAGCGUCCGCAGGUGGCGAUUCAAGUCUGCUGUCAAAGCACGGGGCUUAACUCCGUUAAGGCCGUGGAAACUGAAUAGCUAGAGUGCCGUAGGGGUAGAGGGAAUUCCCGGUGUAGCGGUGAAAUGCGUAGAGAUCGGGAAGAACAUCGGUGGCGAAAGCGCUCUACUGGACGGCAACUUGACACUCAGGGGACGAAAGCUAGGGGAGCGAAUGGGAUUAGAUACC